UGGACCGGAGGGAGGCAUUUCCUGGGGACGGUUAGUUCUGUGUCCCAGCCAAACCAAGGAUCUGCAAUGGGGCGCGACGGCCAGAGGCUCCAGAAAAGGGAACUAAUGUUGCUGUUGCUACCUGGAUUGAAGAAAGGUCGUUCCACAUUUGAGAUUGCUCCAGAGAUGGGGCUACUACCUCAGGUGGAUUCUUCACACACAGGUGAAGGCUUACAGUUGUCCUGAGAUGAGUUGAGGUAGGGAAUAUCUGUAACAUCCUAGAUAUGGGUUUCUCUAUCAGAUGUUCCAAAGAUGUCACUCCCCAUCCACAUCAGCAAGCUUUCUCUCAUUGCUCAUCUCCAGUCUCUCAAAACAUGGUUAAAACUUCCAUAAAUCCCCAUUUGUCCCUCUCCCCUUCAACAAAUAUAUUGGCAGCUCUUGUCUUAAGACAGUUUUUCUUAGUUCCCGGUGGGAAUUAUACUAAACCGGUAUGUGGACAAAUGUAGAGCCUUUCUUCAUACCUCCUAGUCUGGGCCUUGGGAAGAAGGGAAGCAAAGUUCUGAGUUGUCCUUUGUUCUGGUGUUUUGUCUGGGCCAUAUUAAACUUCUCAGAAGUCUUCUGUUUGUACAUUUACAAGGGCAUGGGUAGUUACCAAAAACUUGCUAGAGCCUUGUAUGUUGGACCAAAUGUAACAAACCCUGAGUGCCUAUAUGGGAGAUCUCUAAGUCCUGCUUUUAGAACAGAAGGGGCUGCUGUACUCCUUGCUCCCUGGCUCCAGCUGUCUUUUGGCAGACUGCCCUCCUGUGCUUCAUGUUACCCCUUCCCUCCAUCUCAUGUCCCUAGCAUCUCCCAUUUUUCACCUGUGUAUCAUAGAAGGAUUCUCCUUUAGGUGGGUGGUAGAGGUACUGUUGUGUAAAGGGAAGAACAUUGAAUUUGGAGGCAGAUCUGACUAAAUCCCAUCUUUGUUGCUGUGUGACCAUUGCCUUCUCUGGACUCAGUUCCUCCAUAAGAGGGUGGGAGGAGGGCAGAUGGUUUUGUAAGGUCCCAGAAUUCACAAAUCCUGUGCUAUUGGCAUUAAAUUCAUAUUCUGGAGCUGGUUGGCUCUGGUCCCUGUUCCCUUCUGCCUCUUUUGUUUUUGGAGUAAGUGGGUUAAGGGGCUUGCUUAGGGUCACAAAGCUGAGUAUUUGAGGCUGUAUUUGAACUCAGGUCCUCUUCACUUUGGGGCCAGUACUCUGUCCACUGCUGCCACCUAGUUGCCCCUCCCUUUUCAUUCUUGAAAGAUAGUUGUAGCUGAAUCUUAACACUAGCAGCUUUUCUCUUCCCAAUGGAAGCUUCAAGCCUGAAGGGGAUGGACUGUUCUCUAUUCCUUGUCUCUUAAAUUUAAUUUGAACUCUGUUUGAUUCAUGGUUUUCUUAUUCUCAACAUUCCUGGUUGGUCAAGUAUCUCAUUGACUCCUAAAUUGCUAUUCUCUCACCCCCAUAUGAUGUCAAUUCUUUUCAAAUGCCACUGUCAAAAUUGAAGGAUACUGCAUUCAUCUCCGAUUUCUCAAAACAUGAUUAAAACUUCCAUAAAUCUGCA
Long non-coding RNA from Antechinus flavipes (yellow-footed antechinus), 1557 nucleotides. RefSeq lists it as uncharacterized. The record is from RefSeq and is a predicted model, not a curated record. NCBI's taxonomy places the organism in Eukaryota, Metazoa, Chordata, Mammalia, Dasyuromorphia, Dasyuridae. The transcript is spliced from 2 exons.